This 529-nucleotide ribosomal RNA is filed under the name uncultured bacterium. RNAcentral's name for it is "bacterial SSU rRNA". It matches the Rfam family "Bacterial small subunit ribosomal RNA", at positions 355 to 874 of the family's 1533-position model. The record is from RNAcentral.
UGGGGAAUUGUUCGCAAUGGGCGCAAGCCUGACGACGCAACGCCGCGUGGGGGAUGAAGGUCUUCGGAUUGUAAACCCCUGUUGGGUGGGACGAACACUUUUGUGGUGAAUAUCCACGAAGGCUGACGGUACCACCUGAGGAAGCCCCGGCUAACUCUGUGCCAGCAGCCGCGGUAAUACAGAGGGGGCAAGCGUUGUUCGGAAUUACUGGGCGUAAAGGGCGCGUAGGCGGCCUGUUAAGUCGGACGUGAAAUCCCUCGGCUCAACCGGGGAACUGCGUCCGAUACUGGCGGGCUUGAAUUCGGGAGAGGGAUGUGGAAUUCCAGGUGUAGCGGUGAAAUGCGUAGAUAUCUGGAGGAACACCGGUGGCGAAGGCGGCAUCCUGGACCGACAUUGACGCUGAGGCGCGAAAGCCAGGGGAGCAAACGGGAUUAGAUACCCCGGUAGUCCUGGCCCUAAACGAUGAGUGCUUGGUGUGGCGGGUAUCGAUCCCUGCCGUGCCGAAGCUAACGCAUUAAGCACUCCGCCU